RNAcentral lists this transfer RNA (73 nucleotides) under bacterium. Its description in RNAcentral is "tRNA-Lys". It matches the Rfam family "tRNA". From Rfam's summary of the family: Transfer RNA (tRNA) molecules are approximately 80 nucleotides in length. Their secondary structure includes four short double-helical elements and three loops (D, anti-codon, and T loops). Further hydrogen bonds mediate the characteristic L-shaped molecular structure. tRNAs have two regions of fundamental functional importance: the anti-codon, which is responsible for specific mRNA codon recognition, and the 3' end, to which the tRNAs corresponding amino acid is attached (by aminoacyl-tRNA synthetases). tRNAs cope with the degeneracy of the genetic code in two manners: having more than one tRNA (with a specific anti-codon) for a particular amino acid; and 'wobble' base-pairing, i.e. permitting non-standard base-pairing at the 3rd anti-codon position. The record is from RNAcentral. RNAcentral also lists the same sequence under 1 other name.
GCGCUCAUAGCUCAGUUGGUAGAGCAGAUCCCUUUUAAGGAUAAGGUCACAGGUUCGAGUCCUGUUGGGCGCA